GAUGACCGCUGGCGGCGUGCCUAAUACAUGCAAGUCGAGCGAACAGACGAGGAGCUUGCUCCUCUGACGUUAGCGGCGGACGGGUGAGUAACACGUGGAUAACCUACCUAUAAGACUGGGAUAACUUCGGGAAACCGGAGCUAAUACCGGAUAAUAUAUUGAACCGCAUGGUUCAAUAGUGAAAGACGGUUUUGCUGUCACUUAUAGAUGGAUCCGCGCCGCAUUAGCUAGUUGGUAAGGUAACGGCUUACCAAGGCAACGAUGCGUAGCCGACCUGAGAGGGUGAUCGGCCACACUGGAACUGAGACACGGUCCAGACUCCUACGGGAGGCAGCAGUAGGGAAUCUUCCGCAAUGGGCGAAAGCCUGACGGAGCAACGCCGCGUGAGUGAUGAAGGUCUUCGGAUCGUAAAACUCUGUUAUUAGGGAAGAACAAAUGUGUAAGUAACUAUGCACGUCUUGACGGUACCUAAUCAGAAAGCCACGGCUAACUACGUG
Molecule: ribosomal RNA, 497 nt
Filed under: uncultured bacterium
Lineage: Bacteria
Description: partial 16S ribosomal RNA
Rfam family: Bacterial small subunit ribosomal RNA
Source: RNAcentral